Molecule: ribosomal RNA, 425 nt
Filed under: uncultured bacterium
Lineage: Bacteria
Description: partial 16S ribosomal RNA
Rfam family: Bacterial small subunit ribosomal RNA
Source: RNAcentral
GUGGGGAAUAUUGGGCAAUGGGGGAAACCCUGACCCAGCAACGCCGCGUGAAGGAAGAAGGCUUUCGGGUUGUAAACUUCUUUUAUGAGGGAAGAUAAUGACGGUACCUCAUGAAUAAGCCACGGCUAACUACGUGCCAGCAGCCGCGGUAAUACGUAGGUGGCAAGCGUUGUCCGGAUUUACUGGGUGUAAAGGGCGUGUAGGCGGGACUGCAAGUCAGAUGUGAAAUUUCGGGGCUCAACCCCGAAACUGCAUUUGAAACUGUGGUUCUUGAGUAUCGGAGAGGCAGGCGGAAUUCCUAGUGUAGCGGUGAAAUGCGUAGAUAUUAGGAGGAACACCAGUGGCGAAGGCGGCCUGCUGGACGACAACUGACGCUGAGGCGCGAAAGCGUGGGGAGCAAACAGGAUUAGAAACCCGGGUAGUCC